This is a long non-coding RNA of Pezoporus flaviventris, 661 nucleotides long. RefSeq lists it as uncharacterized. The record is from RefSeq and is a predicted model, not a curated record. Lineage: Eukaryota; Metazoa; Chordata; Aves; Psittaciformes; Psittacidae. The transcript has 3 exons.
UUUAUUAAUUCUUUGUUCUUAACCAGACUCCCACUGUUACUGAGAAAGGAAAAAAAUAUUGUGAUCUUUCUGCAUCUGAGGCAAGCAAAUGCCUGACAUAACUGAUGUAUGUCUACCCUAAUUUACAGGGACAUACAAGAAUACUAUGUGGUGUAUGCCUGAGGAUGAAAGAGAUCUUGACCCUGAGGCACAGUGACCUACAGUGAGGUAGCCUGUGCUACAGCUAGUUAAGCUCACAUUUUCUUGAAGGUGGGUGGAGGUGUAAUCAACACCCAGCAGGACAUUGUCCAGAGAACAUGAUCUGCUUAUCUUCUUAUCAGACGUCUACCCUAAGAAUGCUGAAACAGUGUUUUAGGAAUUCAUCUCUAACAUUUAGAUUUAUAUGGCCAAAAUGGACCUCUCUGCAUCAGUCAGGAGUAGUGCAAAGCAAAGAGCAUCACAUAGCAGUUUCUGCAGCUAGUGGAGAACUGGAUUAUAGCAUGUUUCAAAAAGAUGUUCCGGCUUCCUUUUCUCUCUGUUACAGAUUCUGUUCUAUUGCCUCAGUCCUUAUCUGUAGGUAUUUUGGCUUUUAGUAGUGCUUCACUAUACCAAUAGAAAUCUUUCAUUGUAAUAUGUCUAUAUUGCUCUCUCCUAAAUAAAAGAUAUAUUAAUUUUAUGAUAA